This 447-nucleotide ribosomal RNA is filed under the name uncultured crenarchaeote. RNAcentral describes it as "partial 16S ribosomal RNA". It matches the Rfam family "Archaeal small subunit ribosomal RNA", at positions 330 to 747 of the family's 1478-position model. The record is from RNAcentral. Lineage: Archaea; Thermoproteati; Thermoproteota.
GCGCAGCAGUUGCGAAAACUUGUCAAUGCACGAAAGUGUGAACGGGCUACCCCGAGUGCCGUCCGCUGAGGAUGGCUUUUCUCUGCUGUAAGAAGGCAGAGGAAUAAGGAGAGGGCAAGUCUGGUGUCAGCCGCCGCGGUAAUACCAGCUCUCCGAGUGGUAGGGAUGAUUAUUGGGCUUAAAGCGUCCGUAGCUGGCCUUUCAAGUCUCUUGUUAAAUCCAGCGAUUCAAUCGUUGGACUGCGGGAGAUACUGUUAGGCUAGGGGGCGGGAGAAGCCGACGGUAUUUCCGGGGUAGGGGUAAAAUCCUAUAAUCCCGGGAGGACCACCAGUGGCGAAGGCGGCCGACUAAAACGCGCCCGACGGUGAGGGACGAAAGCUGGGGGAGCGAACGGGAUUAGAUAUGAAGUUGAGUUUUUGCCAGCUUCACUAGAUACCCCCGUAGUCC